This 466-nucleotide ribosomal RNA is filed under the name uncultured bacterium. RNAcentral describes it as "partial 16S ribosomal RNA". It matches the Rfam family "Bacterial small subunit ribosomal RNA", at positions 338 to 795 of the family's 1533-position model. The record is from RNAcentral.
CCUACGGGUGACAGCAGUGGGGAAUAUUGCGCAAUGGGCGAAAGCCUGACGCAGCGACGCCGCGUGAGGGAUGAAGGUCUUCGGAUCGUAAACCUCUGGCAGGUGGGAAGAAGUGGUUAUAUGCGAAUAGUGUAUGACUUUGACGGUACCUCCAAAGGAAGCACCGGCGAACUCCGUGCCAGCAGCCGCGGUCAUACGGAGGGUGCGAACGUUAAUCGGAAUCAGUGGGCGUAAAGCGCGCGUAGGCAGCUUUUCAAGUCAGGGGUGAAAUCCUACGGACCAACCGUGGAACGUCCUUUGAAACUGUAGAGCUUGAGUGUCGGAGAGGGUGGCGGAAUUCCAGUUGUAGGAGUUGAGUCCGUAGAUAUCUGGAGGAACACCGGUGGCGAAGGCGGCCACCUGGACGACAACUGACGCUGAGGUGCGAAAGCGUGGGUAGCAAACAGGAUUAGAUACCCUGGUAGUC